This 581-nucleotide ribosomal RNA is filed under the name Adelie penguin guano bacterium 791. RNAcentral's name for it is "bacterial SSU rRNA". It matches the Rfam family "Bacterial small subunit ribosomal RNA", at positions 93 to 686 of the family's 1533-position model. The record is from RNAcentral.
UAGUGGCGAACGGGUGAGUAACACGUGAGUAACCUGCCCUUGACUCUGGGAUAAGCCUGGGAAACUGGGUCUAAUACUGGAUAUGCACCGUGAACCGCAUGGUUUUUGGUGGAAAGAUUUAUUGGUCAAGGAUGGACUCGCGGCCUAUCAGCUUGUUGGUGAGGUAAUGGCUCACCAAGGCGACGACGGGUAGCCGGCCUGAGAGGGUGACCGGCCACACUGGGACUGAGACACGGCCCAGACUCCUACGGGAGGCAGCAGUGGGGAAUAUUGCACAAUGGGCGAAAGCCUGAUGCAGCGACGCCGCGUGAGGGAUGACGGCCUUCGGGUUGUAAACCUCUUUCAGUAGGGAAGAAGCGAAAGUGACGGUACCUGCAGAAGAAGCGCCGGCUAACUACGUGCCAGCAGCCGCGGUAAUACGUAGGGCGCAAGCGUUAUCCGGAAUUAUUGGGCGUAAAGAGCUCGUAGGCGGUUUGUCGCGUCUAUCGUGAAAGUCCGAGGCUCAACCUCGGAUCUGCGGUGGGUACGGGCAGACUAUGAGUGAUGUAGGGGAGACUGGAAUUCCUGGUGUAGCGGUGAAA